GAUGAAGAACGCAGUGAAAUGCGAUAAGUAAUGUGAAUUGCAGAAUUCAGUGAAUCAUCGAAUCUUUGAACGCACCUUGCGCCCUUUGGCUAUUCCGAAGGGCAUGCCUGUUUGAGUAUCGUGAACACCUCAACUCUCAUGGUUUGCCAUGAUGAGCUUGGACUUUGGGGGUUUUGCUGGCCUUUGGUCGGCUCCUCUCAAACGGAUCAGCUUUCCAGUGUUUGGUGGCGUCACGGGUGUGAUAACUAUCUACGCCUGUGGUUUUCUGCCAGAUAACCUUCAGCGAUGGAGGUUCGCUGGGGCUCAUAAAUGUCUCUCUUCAGUGGAGACAGCUUUUUGGACGUUUGAUCUCAAAUCAGGUAGGACUGCCCGCUGAACUUAAGCAUAUCAAUAAGCGGAGGA
Molecule: unclassified non-coding RNA, 402 nt
Filed under: soil metagenome
Description: partial contains 5.8S ribosomal RNA, internal transcribed spacer 2, and large subunit ribosomal RNA
Rfam family: 5.8S ribosomal RNA (bases 1-121)
Source: RNAcentral